GGUUAAGUCCGGUAACCGAGCGCAACCCUUGCUGUUAGUUACAAGUGUCUAACGGGACUGCCGGUUUAAUACCGGAGGAAGGUGGGAUGACGUCAAGUCAGCAUGGCUCUAUGUCCAGGGCUACACACAACGCUACAAUGGCCGGUACAGUGGGUUGCCAAACCGCGAGGUGGAGCUAAUCCUCAAAGCCGGUCUCAGUUCGGAUUGUAGGCUGCAACUCGCCUGCAUGAAGUCGGAGUCGCUAGUAAUCGCGGAUCAGCAUGCCGCGGUCGAAUACGUUCCCGGGCCUU
RNAcentral lists this ribosomal RNA (290 nucleotides) under uncultured Anaerolineaceae bacterium. RNAcentral's name for it is "partial 16S ribosomal RNA". It matches the Rfam family "Bacterial small subunit ribosomal RNA", at positions 1078 to 1382 of the family's 1533-position model. The record is from RNAcentral. Lineage: Bacteria; Bacillati; Chloroflexota; Anaerolineae; Anaerolineales; Anaerolineaceae.